ACUGCUAUCGAGGUUCGACUAAGCCAUGCGAGUCGAAUGUAGCAAUACAUGGCGUACUGCUCAGUAACACGUGGAUAACCUACCCUUGAGUUGGGAAUAAACCCGGGAAACUGGGUAUAAUACCCGAUAGAUCUCGACUGCUGGAAUGCAUCGAGAUCCAAAGCUCCGGCGCUCAAGGAUGGAUCUGCGGCCUAUCAGGUAGUAGUGGGUGUAGCGUACCUACUAGCCUACGACGGGUACGGGUUGUGAGAGCGAGAGCCCGGAGAUGGAUUCUGAGACACGAAUCCAGGCCCCACGGGGUGCAGCAGGCGCGAAAACUUUACAAUGCUGGAAACAGCGAUAAGGGGACCUCGAGUGCCAGGUUACAAAUCUGGCUGUCGUGAUGCCUAAAAAGCAUUGCAUAGCAAGGGCCGGGCAAGACCGGUGCCAGCCGCCGCGGUAACACCGGCGGCUCGAGUGGUAACCGUUAUUAUUGGGUCUAAAGGGUCUGUAGCCGGCCGGAUAAGUCUCUUGGGAAAUCUGGCAGCUUAACUGUCAGGCUUUCAGGAGAUACUGUCUGGCUCGAGGCCGGGAGAGGUGAGAGGUACUUCAGGGGUAGGGGUGAAAUCUUGUAAUCCUUGAAGGACCACCAGUGGCGAAGGCGUCUCACCAGAACGGACCUGACGGCAAGGGACGAAAGCUAGGGGCACGAACCGGAUUAGAUACCCGGGUAGUCCUAGCCGUAAACGAUACUCGCUAGGUGUCGGCAACGGUGCGACCGUUGUCGGUGCCGUAGGGAAGCCGUGAAGCGAGCCACCUGGGAAGUACGGCCGCAAGGCUGAAACUUAAAGGAAUUGGCGGGGGAGCACCACAACGGGUGGAGCUUGCGGUUUAAUUGGAUCAACGCCGGAA
This 891-nucleotide ribosomal RNA is filed under the name uncultured archaeon. RNAcentral describes it as "bacterial SSU rRNA". It matches the Rfam family "Archaeal small subunit ribosomal RNA", at positions 26 to 923 of the family's 1478-position model. The record is from RNAcentral.